Aethalodelphis obliquidens (Pacific white-sided dolphin) is the source of this 310-nucleotide long non-coding RNA. RefSeq lists it as uncharacterized. The transcript has 3 exons. The record is from RefSeq and is a predicted model, not a curated record. NCBI's taxonomy places the organism in Eukaryota, Metazoa, Chordata, Mammalia, Artiodactyla, Delphinidae.
UGUUAGUGUACGGGUUAGGAUUAGGGUACGGAUUAGGGUAAGGCUUCGGGUAAGGGUAGGGUUAGGGUUAGGGUUAGGGAACAGGUACUGUUUAGGGUACAUGUUAGUGUACUACAACGGUUUAGGGUUAGUGUAUGUGUUAGGGUAAGUGUUUUUGUUAGUGUACAGUUUAGGAUUAGGGUACGGCUUAGUGUAAGGCUUCACAUAAGUGUUAGGUUUAGGGUUAGGGCUAGGGAAUGGGUACAGUUUCGGGUACAGGUUAGGGUACGACAACUGUUUAGGGUUAGUGCAUGUGUUAGCGUAAGGGUUA